This 232-nucleotide long non-coding RNA is filed under the name Lathyrus oleraceus (garden pea). Its description in RNAcentral is "Pisum sativum (pea) long non-coding RNA (PSAT_LNC030806)". Lineage: Eukaryota; Viridiplantae; Streptophyta; Magnoliopsida; Fabales; Fabaceae. The record is from RNAcentral.
GGAGUACGGUUCGUCUUGUGUUGUUGAUGGGUUUGUCGGCGUGUGGUGGAAGGUUGAAGAAGAUCUCGCCGAAGGUGGGGUGUGUGGCGCGGCCGAUGAAUGGGGAUGUAGUGGAGAUUUCUGGCGGAGGAUGAGGUCGAAGGGUUUGGCGAGAAGAAGAUGUUGAGGUGAAGGGCGCGCAGUGGAUUGUGUGGGUAGAAUGGUGAAGUUGACGCAAAGGUGGUCGAAAAGG